RNAcentral lists this ribosomal RNA (301 nucleotides) under uncultured bacterium. RNAcentral describes it as "partial 16S ribosomal RNA". It matches the Rfam family "Bacterial small subunit ribosomal RNA", at positions 509 to 807 of the family's 1533-position model. The record is from RNAcentral.
CAGCAGCCACGGUAAAACGAAGGGGGCUAGCGUUGUUCGGAUUUACUGGGCGUAAAGGGCGCGUAGGCGGACUGAUAAGUCAGGGGUGAAAUCCCAAGGCUCAACCUUGGAACUGCCUUUGAUACUGUUUGUCUUGAGUUCGAGAGAGGUAAGUGGAACUGCGAGUGUAGAGGUGAAAUUCGUAGAUAUUCGCAAGAACACCAGUGGCGAAGGCGGCUUACUGGCUCGAAACUGACGCUGAGGCGCGAAAGCGUGGGGAGCAAACAGGAUUAGAUACCCCGGUAGUCCCUGUCUCUUAUAC